RNAcentral lists this ribosomal RNA (663 nucleotides) under uncultured bacterium. RNAcentral's name for it is "bacterial SSU rRNA". It matches the Rfam family "Bacterial small subunit ribosomal RNA", at positions 56 to 718 of the family's 1533-position model. The record is from RNAcentral.
UGCAAGUCGAGCGGUAUAUACUUAAAUGAAACUUCGGUCGAGUGAGAGUAUAGAGAGCGGCGGACGGGUGAGUAACGCGUAGGCAACCUGCCCCAUACAGAGGGAUAGCCUCGGGAAACCGGGAUUAAAACCUCAUAACGCCAAGAGUUCACAUGGGCUUUUGGCCAAAGAUUUAUCGGUAUGGGAUGGGCCUGCGUCUGAUUAGCUAGUUGGUGGGGUAACGGCCUACCAAGGCAACGAUCAGUAGCCGACCUGAGAGGGUAAUCGGCCACAUUGGAACUGAGACACGGUCCAAACUCCUACGGGAGGCAGCAGUGGGGAAUAUUGCACAAUGGGCGAAAGCCUGAUGCAGCAACGCCGCGUGAGCGAUGAAGGCCUUUGGGUCGUAAAGCUCUGUCCUUGGGGAAGAAAAAAAUGACGGUACCCUUGGAGGAAGCCCCGGCUAACUACGUGCCAGCAGCCGCGGUAAUACGUAGGGGGCAAGCGUUAUCCGGAAUUAUUGGGCGUAAAGAGUGCGUAGGUGGUUUUAUAAGCGCGGGGUGAAAGGCUAUGGCUCAACCAUAGUAAGCCUUGCGAACUGUAAGACUUGAGUGCAGGAGAGGAAAGUGGAAUUCCUAGUGUAGCGGUGAAAUGCGUAGAUAUUAGGAGGAACACCAGUGGCGA